GUGAACGCCCUCACGGGCUUAUACUAUUCCAAACCUCUGUGAACCGUGCCCUUCGGGGCUAUUUUACAAACAUGUGUAAUGAACGUCAUAUAUCAUAACAAAACA
RNAcentral lists this unclassified non-coding RNA (105 nucleotides) under soil metagenome. RNAcentral describes it as "partial internal transcribed spacer 1". The record is from RNAcentral.